UGUUGCACAAAAGUAGAAUUAAGACAUCCAGGCUAAAUGGCUGAGCUGAGCUCAAUGAAGCCAAAACAAGUGCGUCCACGCUUAAUUGGUUGCACAAAGACGAAGCCAGGAUGAUCAGACACGGAUUCAUCAAGCCAGGUGAAACCAAUCCUGGAUAGGUGCGCGCUCACGGCUCACUCAACUAGACCCCGCCACCGAUCACAGAUUCACCGAUUCACCAUGGCAACUAGCGGCGUUCUUUUCCCCGUCAGAGGCACAAAUCCAUACGAGGAGGUAAAAGACAUAAUUAAGAAGAAAGGCAACACCGCCACAGUGGUAAAGCAGAGAGAAAAAGCGUGGCAAAGUAUUGCAGACCGCCUGAAUGCAUUAAAUAUGACCGGGCCAAAACGGACAUGGCAGCAGGUCAAAAUCAAUAUCUGCAGAAUGCAGUGAAAAAGAAUACCCAGAGACAAGGCACGGGUGGUGGGUCACCAAAAGCUGACCUCAUCCCAGCAGAGGCCAGCUUUGGAGCUAAAUAAAGGCAGGCCUGUUGGAGGGGAUCCCUGGGGGAAAAGAGACAAGCAUAGGUCCCUCACAAGAUGCCACCCGCUUCAUACAAGUGUCUGGCAGCACUGUGUUACUGUUAAAGCCACCAGCACGAGCACCAGACGAUGCUGAUCCAGUGAGUACUCCAUCAAAGGCAUACUGUAGGCCUGGCAUGUCUUGUCUACUAGCUUCAAUAUGAAUCCGAUUAAAUGUGAUGGGGUCAAGGCCCCAUUUCAUCAGCACAUAACGGCGAUGAUGAUGAGGAGACCAUCUCGCUGGAUUCCAAAAGGCAUAAGGACCCAGAGUCAUUGGUGCACUGGACUGCACAAACAUAAGGAUAAAAGCCCCCUCAGUCCAUGACUCCAGAAUCUUUUGGACCUCUGAAAUAUAUCAGCGCCUAUCACAAGGUGAAUUCUCUGGUGUGUUGCUGGUAGACAGGGGGUAAGGCUGCCAGCCGUUUUUCCUGACACCUUUCACAGACCCCCAGGAAGCACAGCAGGCCUACAACUAUGCCCAUGCUAGGGCCAGAGUUGAAAUGACCUUUGGCCUCCUGAAGGCACGCUCUCACUGCCUUCACAAAUUAAGGGUCAGCCCUGUGAGGGCAUGUGACAUUACUGUGGCUGGUGGUGUCCUCCACAAUGUGGCCUGCCUGAGGAAGGAGAGGGCACCCAGAGUGCCGCCAGCCAUGGACUGGGACAAUCCGAAAAUCUUCCCUGAUGACAACAGUGGUCGGCUGCUGAGGGACCAAUAUGUGUUGAAUUAUUUUAGUCAGUAUGUGUGCUUUCACAUUUUUUUGAUGUUUGUGCUGUAUACUGUGUGUAUACUGUUUGUAAUACAAGCUUGCAGGGAGGCUACUGCAUCCAUUAAUUGUCUUGUUUUCAGUUGUCUGAAAUUGUCUGUUCAGUUAAUGUGUAUGGAUUUGUCCUGCAUUUAUUUCAGUGUGCAGA
Molecule: non-coding RNA, 1472 nt
Organism: Paramisgurnus dabryanus
Lineage: Eukaryota; Metazoa; Chordata; Actinopteri; Cypriniformes; Cobitidae
Source: RefSeq, a predicted model, not a curated record